This 215-nucleotide long non-coding RNA is filed under the name Lathyrus oleraceus (garden pea). RNAcentral describes it as "Pisum sativum (pea) long non-coding RNA (PSAT_LNC014049)". Lineage: Eukaryota; Viridiplantae; Streptophyta; Magnoliopsida; Fabales; Fabaceae. The record is from RNAcentral.
AGUUCAAGGGUAAAAUAAAAGGCAUUGAAAGUCCAAAGUUUAUGACCAAACCAAGUAUUUGUAAAAUGAAUUGAAUGAGUGUUUGAAUGGUAAUUAUGGUUGAAUAUGUCUUGAAUUGAUGUUGAAUGAGUGGUGGUGUGAUAGGGUGAUCAAAUGAAGCAAGGCCAAUGAUCAAAGGAUGCCCAAAUUAGGGUUUCUUGAAUCACACGUUUCAU